Passer domesticus (house sparrow) is the source of this 372-nucleotide long non-coding RNA. RefSeq lists it as uncharacterized. The record is from RefSeq and is a predicted model, not a curated record. The transcript has 4 exons. NCBI's taxonomy places the organism in Eukaryota, Metazoa, Chordata, Aves, Passeriformes, Passeridae.
ACCAUUGUGAGUAGUGCUCAGGAAAACAGAUUAAUGAGAUUAUUUCCUAGAUCUUUAUGUAACCAUCUCUUCUGAAAAAGUUAGUAUGCAAAUGCUUGAUUUUUACACUUGUAAAGCAAAUAAUGAAGCAGUUUCUCCCACUGGCAACUCAGAAAACAAGUAGAGAGAAGAGAAGUUCAGGCAUAAUAGUGUAACAAAAAGUCAUUUUUCCAAAGAGAACAGGCAAGGAGAUGUGACUAUUUUGUUGAGUCCUGGCUAAGAAAACAGGCAGUACUCUGCUUCAUUACAAGUAGCAUAGGAGCACCAGGAAUGUGCAGGUUUGGAUAAGGCAAUUUUGUGGCAGAAUUGAAAGUGGAGGAGGCUGAGACAGAC